Molecule: non-coding RNA, 431 nt
Organism: Arachis ipaensis
Lineage: Eukaryota; Viridiplantae; Streptophyta; Magnoliopsida; Fabales; Fabaceae
Source: RefSeq, a predicted model, not a curated record
UAUACAUACAUCACGUUUGGAUUCUGUCUCUAAGGACAAAAACAUGAAAAGCAAGAGACAGAUGGAAAAUUGUGUCUCUGUAUUUCUAUCUCCUGAGAUAGUAUCCAAACUUAGGCCCGGCGCUUGAAACAUUGUGUCAACUUAUUUUCUCCCCAUCCACCAUUCGAUGGGAUAUGGAUCUGAUCCAAGAAGGGUUAUAUCCCAUUUAAUGCUGCAUUUUGGGUAAAUUGACAUAGUUUCCCAAACAUAUACAAUUUCCAUAAGUAAUAGAACAAGCAUGAGGGAAGAAACCAAAAUUCUAAAAGGAAAGGUUGUAUGAAUUACUACUGCUGAAACUUGAAGCAAUAACAGAAAGAUAAAACUUUAUGGCCAUCUUGCAAUGCCUGAAAUAAAUGUUUUGGGAAUAAAGUAAAACUAAGAAAAUAAGUAAA